UUCGCAGCGCACACGCAGGGAGUUCGCUCCCCGACCACGACUGCGUGGAAAGUCCCCGUGCCCACGGGCAGAGAGUGCCAGCAGGAGACUGCCGCGCCUCGGCAAAGGCGCGUGGGGUGACACCCUCGGUGGAGCCGCCCGUGCCAGGCUGUCGCGCUUCGCAGCAGCACGGCCAUGUCGUGAGCGCCCGCUUGCGGGCGCCAACUGAACGGGGCUCACUCUCC
This 224-nucleotide RNase MRP RNA is filed under the name Alexandrium andersonii. RNAcentral describes it as "partial RNase MRP". It matches the Rfam family "RNase MRP", at positions 21 to 258 of the family's 266-position model. Rfam says of the family: RNase MRP is an enzymatically active ribonucleoprotein with two distinct roles in eukaryotes. In mitochondria it plays a direct role in the initiation of mitochondrial DNA replication. In the nucleus it is involved in precursor rRNA processing, where it cleaves the internal transcribed spacer 1 between 18S and 5.8S rRNAs. The record is from RNAcentral. Lineage: Eukaryota; Dinophyceae; Gonyaulacales; Pyrocystaceae.